Molecule: ribosomal RNA, 250 nt
Filed under: uncultured bacterium
Lineage: Bacteria
Description: partial 16S ribosomal RNA
Rfam family: Bacterial small subunit ribosomal RNA
Source: RNAcentral
UAGAUACCCUGGUAGUCCACGCCCUAAACGAUGUCAAUUAGCUGUUGGGGGUUUGAAUCCUUGGUAGCGAAGCUAACGCGUGAAAUUGACCGCCUGGGGAGUACGGCCGCAAGGUUAAAACUCAAAGGAAUUGACGGGGACCCGCACAAGCGGUGGAUGAUGUGGAUUAAUUCGAUGCAACGCGAAAAACCUUACCUGCUCUUGACAUGUCCGGAAUCCUUGAGAGAUUGAGGAGUGCCCGAAAGGGAAC